This 725-nucleotide long non-coding RNA is filed under the name Homo sapiens (human). Its description in RNAcentral is "HSALNT0163485". The record is from RNAcentral. Lineage: Eukaryota; Metazoa; Chordata; Mammalia; Primates; Hominidae.
UGUGUUCUGCUUUAAAACUGAACCUUGGCUCUUCAAAGUAACCCUCAAGCCUUUAUCCAAAAUAUAUCAGGUAGGGGUCAUUAGGAAACCUAAUAGCAUCUUGUAAGCACUAAUAAAGGUUACUGUUCUAAAAGUCAUUUUAAAACAACCAUAAGCUGGCAAAGACUGACAGAAUGAACUUUUUCAGAACUCUGGAAUCUAAUUGAAAACUUACAACAGCAACCAAGAGACUGCUUAAUGAAGAAAAGGGCAGCUGAUUUUUGGCAUUUAAGGAAAUCUCUGUUAGGUAACUGGCUGACCAGUGAGAUAGUGGAACAGAGACUUCAGUGACCACACCCAACAAGGAAUACUGCCUUUGCAAAAACAGUUUGGAAAAGUCACUAAACAAAUGGAUGACUGGAGCCCUCAGGAAUCAACAACAGCAAACCCUGAGGCAGGGAGAGAAUAUGAUUACCCAUUGUAAUGUUCAGAUGCCCAGUUUUCAACAGAAAGGUAUAAGGCAUACACAGAAAGAGGAAAGUAUGGCCCAUUCAAAGGGAGAAAAUAAAUUGGCAAAAACCUUCCCCGGGAAGCCCAGACAUUGGACUUACUACUAGACAACUGUCUUAAAUAUGCUCAAAGAGCCAGCAGAAAUCAGGAAAACGAUGGAUGAACAAAGUGAGAAUAUCAAUAAAUUAUAUAAAAAAAGAACCAAGUAUACAUUUUGGAGCUACAAAUGAUUUUAG